Molecule: long non-coding RNA, 89 nt
Organism: Hibiscus syriacus
Lineage: Eukaryota; Viridiplantae; Streptophyta; Magnoliopsida; Malvales; Malvaceae
Exons: 3
Source: RefSeq, a predicted model, not a curated record
AUGGCACCUAGAGACGGAGGUACUGCGUGAGGCUGGUUUCACAGAGCAGCGAAGACUUUCCUCUCUUGGCAGUGGAAGGAUAACAAGCU